This 466-nucleotide ribosomal RNA is filed under the name uncultured bacterium. RNAcentral describes it as "bacterial SSU rRNA". It matches the Rfam family "Bacterial small subunit ribosomal RNA", at positions 334 to 793 of the family's 1533-position model. The record is from RNAcentral.
CACUCCUACGGGAGGCAGCAGUGGGGAAUAUUGCACAAUGGGGGAAACCCUGAUGCAGCCAUGCCGCGUGUGUGAAGAAGGCCUUCGGGUUGUAAAGCACUUUCAGUAGGGAGGAAGGUAGUGUAGUUAACACCUGCAUUAUUUGACGUUACCUACAGAAGAAGCACCGGCUAACUCCGUGCCAGCAGCCGCGGUAAUACGGAGGGUGCGAGCGUUAAUCGGAAUUACUGGGCGUAAAGCGCAUGCAGGCGGCCUGUUAAGUCAGAUGUGAAAGCCCGGGGCUUAACCUCGGAAUUGCAUUUGAAACUGGCAGGCUAGAGUCUUGUAGAGGGGGUAGAAUUUCAGGUGUAGCGGUGAAAUGCGUAGAGAUCUGAAGGAAUACCAGUGGCGAAGGCGGCCCCCUGGACAAAGACUGACGCUCAGAUGCGAAAGCGUGGGGAGCAAACAGGAUUAGAUACCCUGGUAG